RNAcentral lists this ribosomal RNA (228 nucleotides) under uncultured bacterium. RNAcentral's name for it is "partial 16S ribosomal RNA". It matches the Rfam family "Bacterial small subunit ribosomal RNA", at positions 103 to 334 of the family's 1533-position model. The record is from RNAcentral.
CGGGUGAGUAAUGCUUGGGAAUCUAGCUUAUGGAGGGGGAUAACUACGGGAAACUGUAGCUAAUACCGCGUAGUAUCGGAAGAUGAAAGUGUGGGACCUUCGGGCCACAUGCCAUAGGAUGAGCCCAAGUGGGAUUAGGUAGUUGGUGAGGUAAAGGCUCACCAAGCCGACGAUCUCUAGCUGGUCUGAGAGGAUGACCAGCCACACUGGGACUGAGACACGGCCCAG